AUGAACGCUGGCGGCGUGCCUAAUACAUGCAAGUCGAGCGAACAGACGAGGAGCUUGCUCCUCUGACGUUAGCGGCGGACGGGUGAGUAACACGUGGAUAACCUACCUAUAAGACUGGGAUAACUUCGGGAAACCGGAGCUAAUACCGGAUAAUAUAUUGAACCGCAUGGUUCAAUAGUGAAAGACGGUUUUGCUGUCACUUAUAGAUGGAUCCGCGCCGCAUUAGCUAGUUGGUAAGGUAACGGCUUACCAAGGCAACGAUGCGUAGCCGACCUGAGAGGGUGAUCGGCCACACUGGAACUGAGACACGGUCCAGACUGCUACGGGAGGCAGCAGUAGGGAAUCUUCCGCAAUGGGCGAAAGCCUGACGGAGCAACGCCGCGUGAGUGAUGAAGGUCUUCGGAUCGUAAAACUCUGUUAUUAGGGAAGAACAAAUGUGUAAGUAACUAUGCACGUCUUGACGGUACCUAAUCAGAAAGCCACGGCUAACUACGUG
RNAcentral lists this ribosomal RNA (496 nucleotides) under uncultured bacterium. Its description in RNAcentral is "partial 16S ribosomal RNA". It matches the Rfam family "Bacterial small subunit ribosomal RNA", at positions 29 to 507 of the family's 1533-position model. The record is from RNAcentral.